UGCUUUACACAUGCAAGUCGAACGGUAACAGGCCUUCGGGUGCUGACGAGUGGCGAACGGGUGAGUAAUGCAUCGGAACGUACCCGGUCGUGGGGGAUAACGCAGCGAAAGCUGUGCUAAUACCGCAUACGAUCUGAGGAUGAAAGCGGGGGACCGAGCAGCAAUGUUUGGCCUCGCGCGAUCGGAGCGGCCGAUGUCGGAUUAGCUAGUUGGUGGGGUAAAGGCCUACCAAGGCGACGAUCCGUAGCUGGUCUGAGAGGACGACCAGCCACACUGGGACUGAGACACGGCCCAGACUCCUACGGGAGGCAGCAGUGGGGAAUUUUGGACAAU
Molecule: ribosomal RNA, 333 nt
Filed under: uncultured beta proteobacterium
Lineage: Bacteria; Pseudomonadati; Pseudomonadota; Betaproteobacteria
Description: bacterial SSU rRNA
Rfam family: Bacterial small subunit ribosomal RNA
Source: RNAcentral